UACGUAGGGUGCGAGCGUUAAUCGGAAUUACUGGGCGUAAAGCGUGCGCAGGCGGUUUUGAAAGUCAGAUGUGAAAUCCCCGGGCUCAACCUGGGAACUGCGUUUGAAACUCCAAAGCUAGAGUAUAGGAGAGGGGGGUAGAAUUCCACGUGUAGCAGUGAAAUGCGUAGAGAUGUGGAGGAAUACCAAUGGCGAAGGCAGCCCCCUGGCUUAAUACUGACGCUCAUGCACGAAAGCGUGGGGAG
Molecule: ribosomal RNA, 245 nt
Filed under: uncultured bacterium
Lineage: Bacteria
Description: partial 16S ribosomal RNA
Rfam family: Bacterial small subunit ribosomal RNA
Source: RNAcentral